Molecule: ribosomal RNA, 255 nt
Filed under: uncultured bacterium
Lineage: Bacteria
Description: partial 16S ribosomal RNA
Rfam family: Bacterial small subunit ribosomal RNA
Source: RNAcentral
UACGUAGGAUGCAAGCGUUUGUCCGGAAUUAUUGGGCGUAAAGAGCGCGCAGGCGGUAACUCAAGUCAGAUGUGAAAUAUCCGGGCUUAACCCGGAGGGGUCAUUUGAAACUGAGUAACUAGAGUACAGCAGAGGAUAGCGGAAUUCCCGGUGUAGUGGUGAAAUGCGUAGAUAUCGGGAGGAACAUCAGGUGGCGAAGGCGGCCUGCUGGGCUGUUGCUGACGCUGAGGCGCGACAGCGUGGGGAGCAAACAGG